UACGGAGGGCGCAAGCGGUAUCCGGAAUCACUGGGUUUAACGGGUGCGUAGGCGGCUAGAUAAGUCAGAGGUGAAAGGUUGUCACUUAACGAUAGAACUGCCUUUGAUACUGUUGAGCUUGAAACUAGGUGGGGUUGGCGGAAUGUGACUUGUAGCGGUGAAAUGCAUAGAUAUGUCAUAGAACACCGAAUGCGAAGGCAGCUGGCUGGGCCUACUUUUACGCUGAGGCACGAAAGCUUGGGGAGCGUACAGG
RNAcentral lists this ribosomal RNA (253 nucleotides) under uncultured bacterium. Its description in RNAcentral is "partial 16S ribosomal RNA". It matches the Rfam family "Bacterial small subunit ribosomal RNA", at positions 524 to 776 of the family's 1533-position model. The record is from RNAcentral.